RNAcentral lists this small RNA (177 nucleotides) under Chrysemys picta bellii (western painted turtle). RNAcentral's name for it is "TUC338 (ENSCPBG00000019518.1)". The record is from RNAcentral. Lineage: Eukaryota; Metazoa; Chordata; Testudines; Emydidae.
UUGACAGCCCUGGAGACUGAGUUCCUCUGUUUAUCCAAAGAGCAGGGAAAAACAUGGGCAGUGACGAUACAAGUUUCUCCAUAUUUGUCUAAGGAUGUGCCUUAACCUUGGCCUAGAAGGGUCACAUGUAAGAGGGAAAGCAGUUCUGACACUUAGCACAUUAUUUCUUUGGAGGCC